RNAcentral lists this ribosomal RNA (440 nucleotides) under uncultured bacterium. RNAcentral describes it as "partial 16S ribosomal RNA". It matches the Rfam family "Bacterial small subunit ribosomal RNA", at positions 338 to 795 of the family's 1533-position model. The record is from RNAcentral.
CCUACGGGGGUCAGCAGUGGGGAAUAUUGCACAAUGGGGGAAACCCUGAUGCAGCGACGCCGCGUGAGCGAUGAAGUAUUUCGGUAUGUAAAGCUCUAUCAGCAGGGAAGAAAAUGACGGUACCUGACUAAGAAGCCCCGGCUAACUACGGGCCAGCAGCCGCGGUAAUACGUAGGGGGCAAGCGUUAUCCGGAUUUACUGGGUGUAAAGGGAGCGUAGACGGUCCUGCAAGCCAGAUGUGAAAGCCCGGGGCUCAACCCCGGGACUGCAGUUGGAACUGUAAGGCUAGAGUGUCGGAGAGGCAGGCGGAAUUCGUGGUGUAGCGGUGAAAUGCGUAGAUAUUAGGAAGAACACCAGUGGCGAAGGCAGCUUGCUGGACGAUGACUGACGUUGAGGCUCGAAAGCGUGGGGAGCAAACAGGAUUAGAUACCCUUGUAGCC